AUGGAUGAGGAUUUCAAUGUUGAAUAUUUUAAUCAAGUACCGAUUGUUUUACAAAUAGCUGUUGAUCAAUUAAGUGAUGAGGAUUUCAAUGUUGAAUAUUUUAAUCAAGUACCGAAUGCUUUACAAAUAGCUGUUGAUCAAUUAAGUGAAAUUCCAAUCUCCAUUCCAAUAAAUUUACAUUUUACAGAGCAAAAUGAAAACGUCCUAGAACUUGACACCUUACAACUCAUAAAUGAUGCCCUCGAAAACCUUAAUGCAGUUAAUGCAGUAGAGUUUGAAAAUCAUUCUCCUUCAUCAGCUCUCCACACGCAAAGUGAUCAUGUCUUACACGCGGUAACAAUCAGAUCAGAGACGGAUUCAUCCGAGACACAAUCGGCUCUUCCUAACCCCCCUCCUGAACAGGAUGAGAGGCCAGGAGAAGGGGGGUCAGCGAGCAGCCCCUCAGCCCAUCUUUCUCCUCAGCAAGGGGGAGGAGGGCUAGGAGAAAAUCCAUCCGAUCUCUCUCCUGAGCGGGGUGAGAGGUUUUUUAAUGAUUUUAUCACAUGGAGAACAAGACGCUCCUUUAACAUUCCCACUCGGGGAAAUGUGCCUGACAUUGCAACAUUCUAUCGAGAUGUAACAGGGGUUAUCAGCGAAUUGGUGGAUGUUGCCAGACGACAUAGUAGUCGCAAUGAUUUCAUACAGUUGGAGGUGGUGGGUGAAAACGUACACAAUCAUGUUACAGUUGCUGUGGAUGAACAAGGUGAAAAUAUUCUACCGGCUUUUAAUGGAAUGCUAGAUCGGAUUGUGCAGUCAAACGGUAUCAUUUCAUCGGAUGAGAAUAUAGAAUUCAUCCUUCACGUGGUGCAGAACCCAGGAGGAGGUGCCAAACGUAAGAUGGAGAAAACUCUAGACUGUGAAAUCAUUGACAAAAAAAAGACGUCACUUAUUUAUCGUAGACAACAGAGACAACCAGCUUUGCUUCGCCAUCAGUCUAGCUCACGUUAUCUACCCGAAACUUACUGA
RNAcentral lists this long non-coding RNA (1005 nucleotides) under Takifugu rubripes (torafugu). Its description in RNAcentral is "lncRNA (ENSTRUG00000033225.1)". The record is from RNAcentral. Lineage: Eukaryota; Metazoa; Chordata; Actinopteri; Tetraodontiformes; Tetraodontidae.